This is a non-coding RNA of Solanum lycopersicum (tomato), 3443 nucleotides long. NCBI's taxonomy places the organism in Eukaryota, Viridiplantae, Streptophyta, Magnoliopsida, Solanales, Solanaceae. The record is from RefSeq and is a predicted model, not a curated record.
GCCUGCCAUGUGUCAAUAUGAGAGUUAUUUUUCUAAUAUAUAAAAGUUUGCAUUUGUAAUUUAUAAUCUAUUAUUUUUCAAACAUUUUGUUAUUCAAAUAUAUAAAUGUUUUUUUUGUGUUCCUCCACAACCUUUUUUAUUUUUUUUCAUUUAUAAUUUAUAAGUUAUUAUUUUUCUAAAAUUUUGUUAUGUAAAUAUGUAAACCGUUUUUUUUGCAAUCGCUUGCCAUGUGUCAUUUAUUUGAAAAUAUUUUAUCAAUUAAACAAUAAUUUAUUAUUUAAUCUUAUUAUAUAUAAUUAAUUUUAUUUAUUUAGAAAUUCCUUUUUUAGGAUGCUGACAUGUGGCGUUUUUCACCUCUCCUAUUAUAAAUAUAUAGUUUUUGUCAUUAGUAUAAUUUUGUUUGUAUGUUAUUUUUUAAAGAAAAGUAGAAUUCAUUAUUGAAUAAAGUUAAUGACUUACGUUAGAAAAUCAUAUUUGUAUUUAGGUUUAAUAUUUAAUUUUGUUAAGGUUGUUAGUUAAUUUGUUUUAUUAAAAUUUUAGUCGAAUUGACAAAACGAACUCAAUUUUUGCUAUUUCGUUAUUACAAAUAUCCAACCCAUCAAAAAGACCAAAAUUGUGCCCAACCCCACCGAUCCAAUUCCUGUAAAACCAUUCAACUCUAAGUCUAACAUUCUUUACACAACGUCUAUACACUAACACUACAAAUCGAUAAUUCCAACGUUGAAAGAGGAGACUCUGGCGUUUGCCACUUCCAACGUUCAUUAAUGCCGUCAACGGCAUUCCAGUCGCUUCAUCUUCCUUCCUUCUUCACCUCGUACGAAAGGUGUUCGAUUAGACCCGUCCACCUCCACUCCGAUUUGGAAUCCAUUGGUUAGUCACUUUUGGGUCUCUUUGGAAUUCUCAGCUUAUGGUAGAAUAUGCAACAACGCUGUUUCUAGAAAGGCUAUGGAUGCAGGAUUAGUGCUCAGUUUUCUAACAGGUUCCUUGACAUUCUUCAAGCACGUUGCUGCGCCUACGAAGUACUUUAGCAUUGUUGUCAGUUUUGGGCUUUUGAAAUUCUGGGCUACUGAGAUUUGUUGGGAGUUACAGGACUUCAACCUCAAUAAAUUUAAGGGGAUUGAAGAUGAGUUCAUUAUCAACGUAUCAUUGUUCCAGAAAUGGGCACUAGUGCAGUAUGGAGAAGUCUAGUAUUUAAGAAGGAGAAUUUCAUUAAAUGCUCCCACUGAUGUCUGCCAAGUCUUCCUUCAGGAUUUUAAAUCUUCCGUUCGUUCUGGUUAAAGAGGCAUUUUUUAAGGAUGGUGAGAAGGAAUCUCGUAGAAUCUUGUGUAAAAGCAUUGAACUUCUGUGCUUCUGAGAGUCGUGGGGAGUUGCAGCUUGGUUCACUCAUCUCCUGAUAGUGCCUUCUAUGUUCUCUUUUGGUUAAUUGAGUAGCUUUAGGGUACUCAUCAGAUAUAUGCAAAGGAAGCAGCUUCCAGACUUGGUAAACUGAUGAUGGAUGCCCUUAUUUCCAUGCGUAUGGAAUCAAGAAGAUCCUAUGGACCUGAAGAGUCUGGUUGCCCUCAAUGGAUCAGAUUGGAUAAGCUUGAACUAGGCAAUGAAAGGACGGAGUGGUUGGCUUUCAUACGGGAUGGUGAUGCUAAUUAUUCACUGCUUGUAAACUUGAAAAUGUUGGAUGAUCUUCAAUUAUCGAGGAAAUUUCCAUCGAAAGCUGGCAUAAUAAUCUUGCACAGACUGCCUCCGAGGCUUAGCUCGAGUGGAAGAAGGUGGUGUCACAGGUUCGAUCCCCACACCAUGCAAAGUGAAGCCCGGAAUUUUAGUGGAGAGGGGUAGAGGGCGGGCCCAUUAUUUACCAAGAUUAGAAGGCUAUGAUUCGUCCAAAGGGAGGGUCACAUGCAGAUUUCUAAGUUAUAAAAAAGAUCUUGGAGAUACUUUCGAGAACUGCAGAAGUAUUGAUGACAGGGUGCAGGCAUAGGUGUACGUUAGAUCGUAUGGUACAACGUUACAGCUAUCUUGACGUGGAGAUUUCAUCCGUACUUGGGUUGUAGUAAACCAUGGUUUCAAGUAUGCGGGGAUAAGGAUUACUUGUGAGAUAGUAAGCAUGUUUGGUUGGUUGACAUGACUUGCGUGACUUUGCAUUAAGUUCCUGUAAGGGUUCCAUCGUUGAAGAAUUUCUAAGGCGGCAUUGUUGAAGGCUUGGAUUCUUCCUUUCAUCAAAGUGAGGAAUCAUGAAUUCUAGAAGAAAUACGGCUCGAAGACUUGAGGAGGAAGUUGCUAAUGCGGGAGCUCCUCCCUAUGGUCACCAAGUUCCUCCUCUUGAGGAAAAUGCUAAUGUUGACCAAGCCCCGGCUAACCCUCUACCCACGGAGGCGGGGAUGAGGGGUAUUGUUGCUCAAAUGGCCCAAGCCAUUACUACUCAAGCACAAGCUGUGACGGUUCAUGCCUAAGCUAUGACAGCCCAAGCCAAUCGAGAGAUUGUUCCCCGUCCUCAUCAACAAGUCCCUACUAUGGCUUCCUGUCUAAGGGACUUCACUCGAAUGAAUCCUCCUACAUUCUAUAGGUCUAAGGUUGAUGAAUACCCCAAGAAUUCAUCGAUGAGGUCUAUAUGAUACUAUAUGCUAUGGGAGUGUCUUAAAGUGAGAAGUCCGAGUUGGACACAUACCAACUCAAAAAUGUGGCUCAAACUUGGUAUAAAUGGAGGGAUAAUAGGCCUUUGAGUGGUGGUUCAGUGACUUGGGAUAUCUUUAAGGUUGGUUUUCUAGAGCAGUUCUUCCCUAGGGAUAUGAAGGAGGAAAAAGUGGUGGAGUUCAUCAAUCUUCGCCAAGGAGGACGGAGUAUCCAUGAGUAUCCUUUGGAAUUCAUUAAGUUGUCCAAAUGUGUUCCUUCUCUGGUCUCCAAUCCUAGAGACCAAAUGAGUCGCUUUAUUCCGAGGGUGUUGAAGGACUUACAAGAGCAGUACCAAUCGGCCAUGCUACAUGACAACAUGAACAUUUCCCGUCUUAUGGUGCAUGCAAGAAGGAUUGAGGAGGCAAGGGCUAAGCGAAAAAGUAGAGAUGCUAAGAGAGAAAGGUCAUAUGAUGGUUGUUCUUCAAAGAAUAAGCUUGAAAUAAAAGACAAGCCUAGAUUAGAAGCGGGUUUCUAAUCAAGUCCUUUCUACAUUUCCAAAACCUGUGGGUGAUAGGGUGUCUAACCCUAAAUUCAAGAGGGGAAAAGGUACUAAUUCACCAAAUGAGAAGCCUACUUGUAACAAGUGUGGGAAGGGCUAUCUUGGUGAGUGCUUGGUAGGAACGGGGAUUAACUUUAGUUGUGGAAAGAGUGGUCACAAGAUGAGAGGUUUUCCUAACUUGAAAAGUCAAGACAAGGGUAUUUUUCAAGCUCAAUCAAGUGGUUCUAGUGAUGAUCCAAAGAAGAACCGCUUCUAUACUCUUCGCCCUAGGGGUGAGCAA